UACGUAGGGUGCGAGCGUUAAUCGGAAUUACUGGGCGUAAAGCGUGCGCAGGCGGUCUGUUAAGACCGAUGUGAAAUCCCCGGGCUUAACCUGGGAACUGCAUUGGUGACUGGCAGGCUUUGAGUGUGGCAGAGGGAGGUAGAAUUCCACGUGUAGCAGUGAAAUGCGUAGAGAUGUGGAGGAAUACCGAUGGCGAAGGCAGGUCUCUGGGCUGACACUGACGCUCAUGCACGAAAGCGUGGGGAGCAAACAGG
Molecule: ribosomal RNA, 254 nt
Filed under: uncultured bacterium
Lineage: Bacteria
Description: partial 16S ribosomal RNA
Rfam family: Bacterial small subunit ribosomal RNA
Source: RNAcentral